Lontra canadensis (Northern American river otter) is the source of this 99-nucleotide long non-coding RNA. RefSeq lists it as uncharacterized. The record is from RefSeq and is a predicted model, not a curated record. The transcript is spliced from 3 exons. Lineage: Eukaryota; Metazoa; Chordata; Mammalia; Carnivora; Mustelidae.
GUCAAAGACCUGAAUUUAAAACCUAAAACUAUUAAGUUCUUAGAAGGAAAUGUGAAAAACGUCAUGAACUUAGAUUAAGAAAGAUUUUUUUAUAGCUAU